RNAcentral lists this unclassified non-coding RNA (849 nucleotides) under Hevea brasiliensis (rubber tree). The record is from RNAcentral. Lineage: Eukaryota; Viridiplantae; Streptophyta; Magnoliopsida; Malpighiales; Euphorbiaceae.
AGAGAGAGAGAGAGAGAGAGAGGGAGGAGAUGAUGAAGCUGAAAGUAUAUGCAGAUCGAAUGUCCCAGCCUUCACGGGCAGUUAUCAUCUUUUGCAAGGUAAACGGGAUAGACUUUGAGGAGGUCAGAAUAGACGUAAGCAAGCGCCAGCAGUUAUCUCCUGAAUUCAAAGAAAUAAACCCUAUGGGAAAAGUGCCAGCUAUAGUUGAUGGACGAUUCAAGCUGUUUGAAAGCCAUGCAAUCCUUAUCUAUCUUGCUUGUGUGUUUCCUGGAGUUGCUGAUCAUUGGUAUCCGGCUGAUCUUUUCAAGAGAGUUAAGAUUCAAUCAGUGUUGGAUUGGCACCACUCUAAUUUACGCCGGGGAGCAGCUACAUAUGUUUUCAAUACUACACUGGCACCUGCAUCUGGCCUACCUCUGAAUCCACAAGCUGCUGCUGAAGCUGAGAAAGUUCUCUCUUCAUCCCUGUCAAAGAUAGAAUCCUUUUGGCUCAAGGGAAGCGGACGAUUUUUGCUAGGUGGCAAUCAACCAACUAUAGCAGAUCUAAGCCUUGUCUGUGAAAUAAUGCAACUGGAGGUUUUGGAUGAAUAUGAUCGCAGUCGAAUAAUUGCUCCAUAUAAGAAAGUUCAGCAAUGGAUUGAGGACACAAGACAGGCAACAAGGCCUCACUUUGAUGAAGUGCAUAAAAUCCUAUUUAAAGCCAAAGCAAGACUGCAAAAGCAGCGGUCAGUGGGGGAAAACAUUGAGACUCAAUCAAGCUUGAAAACAACAUUGUCCUCAAAGAUGUAAAAAUUGUUUGACGUUUAUGUUUGCCCAAAUAAAUGUAUCAAGUAUUUAGGGGUUUGUCUUGUAU